CUCUCUCUCUCUCUCUCUCUCUCUCUCUCUCCCGCGGCUGAACCCCCCUCCCCGUUUCAAUUUUUCGCCGGAACUUCAGACGGCGAGAACUUCGCCGUCCGACCUCCGUUUGAGGCGCCGUUUCUUGCAAAAGCUUCAUCUCUUCCUCCUCUACCCAGCCCACCCCUUUUCUCCGAUCGAAAACCCGGCAAACGGCGGUGGCGACGACGUGAAAACCAGUCAAAACUGCCGACGUCGCCGACGACGUUUCCGGCCAUCUCGAGCUGCGCCGUCACUUGGAACAGGUAGCUCUCCUUCCCUUCUAGCUAUUUCCUGGGUUGUGCGACGACCAUGGUGACGGUGGUCGUCGGAUCGAAGCCGUGAAGUUCCGGGUUAAACCGCGAACUUCCGACGCCGAUUCCGGCCACUUGCCGUCCGAAUUGGACCUUGGUGUAGUUGAAUAAAGUGUUCCACUCGUCGAGUAGAAUCUAUAGCCGGAAGGGUGAGCUCGGGUGUGGAGUUUUUCCGUUCCCGGAAUUUCUCUACACACCCACGCACUGCCGGCGCAUGUGGCGGCGCGUGGGCGAGUCUGGUGAGGCUGCAAAAUAACCCGAUGAGAUCCUUAGGUUGUCACGAGCACGUAGGAUUUCGCGGAUCUCAAUUCGGAUGUCGUUUGACUAUCGAACGGAUUUUCGCAUAUUGUGCGUUAUCCGGGUUCGAUAGGUUCCGACCGUUAGAUCCUUCCCGAAUUAAAAUAUGUUGUUCUAGGUAUUCUUAGGAUCGUAUAGGACUUCGCGGAUUGUGAAUCGGAACCCCGGAUGUUCCGAUUCAAUAACUUAAAGUUUGUGUUUUAUAUUAACCGUCCGAUCGUGCGAUCAUAAGCGAUCUAACCGUCCGUUUCGGACCAAACUUGCGAGACGGGUAUCUUAGACCUUGUGGAACCUUUAGGAACUUUCGGAUUGUAAAAUGGAGGUCGUGGGUCCCGUGGGUCCCGUGGGCCCGGUUGACCCGAAUUGGGAAGUUUGACCGUCGGUUGACCGAGUGUCUCCCGAAGCUGUUCCAUCGUCCAAAUUGGGUAGUUGGACCUUAGAACGUCGCGUUCCUAGUACACUUACUAAGAACCUGGGAAAUUAGGAUAUUUAAUUCAAAGUACUCGUUCGAAAUGCUUCGUACUAAUCUCGUAUACGUAUUCUGAAUUAGGUACUCCGACCACGCAUACGCAGCAGGCGGGACCCUCUCAGGGUCAAGCAGCGUGGGACUACUUGUGAGUGGACUUUGUUUUCAAAUCUUAUGCAUGGUUUUAUUAAUGAAAGAUUUAUGCAUAAUGUUUUAACGAUUUAUUGAAUAUAUUAUAUUCAUGGGUUGAAUUUGAU
This 1352-nucleotide long non-coding RNA is filed under the name Prunus dulcis (almond). RNAcentral describes it as "sRNA ncRNA". The record is from RNAcentral. Lineage: Eukaryota; Viridiplantae; Streptophyta; Magnoliopsida; Rosales; Rosaceae.